UAUGGCCAGAUCACUUUGAAACACUGGUUCUUGUACAAUCACUGAAUUUAAGCAUUGUUGAGCCUGGUUAGUAACAAGAUGGGUGACCACUUGGGAAUACUAGUUGGUGUA
Molecule: non-coding RNA, 111 nt
Organism: Acanthosepion pharaonis
Lineage: Eukaryota; Metazoa; Mollusca; Cephalopoda; Sepiida; Sepiidae
Source: the annotation of a GenBank genome assembly